Long non-coding RNA from Athalia rosae (coleseed sawfly), 384 nucleotides. RefSeq lists it as uncharacterized. NCBI's taxonomy places the organism in Eukaryota, Metazoa, Arthropoda, Insecta, Hymenoptera, Athaliidae. The record is from RefSeq and is a predicted model, not a curated record. The transcript has 2 exons.
GGAUGGGACAGGUAUCGGUUCCGAAAUCGGAAGAAAACUGGGACGUGGCGGACUAACCGCUUCGCGACUACUCUGUUUUACGUACCUGGUGAAGGAAUAGAUGUGAAACAAUCGAAAUCCAUACAAGCACGAAAUUUUGCUGGAGGUAUAAGGGGCCAGGGCAAGGUCACUUGGUACUAGAACAAAGUCAUCGUCUGGGCUAGAACAGGGACUGCUCGCUUCUGGGGCUGAUCGAGGACUCCCAGACUCUGUUUCUGCAGUAACUAAUCCACUAGGAGAUGCUGGCAAAUCGGCAGGCAGGGGACUGACGCUAUCUCUGGGUCCUUGCAAGAAUGGAUGGUUGAAGAACUCGUCAAAAGGCAUCCGGUCUCUCGCGUUGCGCCG